RNAcentral lists this ribosomal RNA (248 nucleotides) under uncultured bacterium. Its description in RNAcentral is "partial 16S ribosomal RNA". It matches the Rfam family "Bacterial small subunit ribosomal RNA", at positions 796 to 1041 of the family's 1533-position model. The record is from RNAcentral.
CACGCUGUAAACGAUGUCCGCUGGGCGCUUGACCAUGAGUUGGGUGCCGAAGCUAACGCAUUAAGCGGACCGCCUGGGGAGUACGCCCGCAAGGGUGAAACUCAAAGGAAUUGACGGGGGCCCGCACAAGCGGUGGAGCAUGUGGUUUAAUUCGAAGCAACGCGAGAAACCUUACCAGGUCUUGACAUGAGAUUGCCGCUGCGAGAGAUCGCAGUUUCUAGGGCAACCUAGACGAUCUACACAGGUGU